This 494-nucleotide ribosomal RNA is filed under the name uncultured bacterium. RNAcentral describes it as "partial 16S ribosomal RNA". It matches the Rfam family "Bacterial small subunit ribosomal RNA", at positions 28 to 507 of the family's 1533-position model. The record is from RNAcentral.
GACGAACGCUGGCGGCGCGCUUAACACAUGCAAGUCGAACGGAAAGGCCUGCUUUCCCUUGUGGAUUGCGGGUACUCGAGUGGCGAACGGGUGAGUAACACGUGAGUGAUCUGCCCCCAACUUGGGUAUAAGCCUGGGAAACUGGGUCUAAUUCCCGAUAGGACUGCAGGGUGGUGCCUGUGGUGGAAAACGAUUUUCUAGUGGUUGGGGAUGAGCUCGCGGCCUAUCAGCUCGUUGGUGGGGUAAUGGCCUACCAAGGCGGCGACGGGUAGCCGGCCUGGGAGGGUGGACGGCCACAUUGGGACUGAGAUACGGCCCAGACUCCUACGGGAGGCAGCAGUGGGGAAUAUUGCACAAUGGGCGGAAGCCUGAUGCAGCGACGCCGCGUGGGGGAUGACGGCCUUCGGGUUGUAAACUCCUUUCGACCGCGAGGAAGCCACCUGGUUGGAAGGGUGGUGACGGUAGUGGUAGAAGAAGCACCGGCUAACUACGUG